This 330-nucleotide RNase P RNA is filed under the name Flavobacteriales bacterium 32-35-8. RNAcentral describes it as "RNase P RNA component class A". It matches the Rfam family "Bacterial RNase P class A". From Rfam's summary of the family: Ribonuclease P (RNase P) is a ubiquitous endoribonuclease, found in archaea, bacteria and eukarya as well as chloroplasts and mitochondria. Its best characterised activity is the generation of mature 5'-ends of tRNAs by cleaving the 5'-leader elements of precursor-tRNAs. The record is from RNAcentral. Lineage: Bacteria; Pseudomonadati; Bacteroidota; Flavobacteriia; Flavobacteriales.
UAAGUAAAUCGCCUUAUCGCUGAAUCCUUUCACGAGGAUUUGGAGGAAAGUCCGAACACCAUAGUGCAGCAUAGUGGCUAAUAACCACCAGUCGUGAGGCUAGGAAUAGUGCAACAGAAAGUAUGUACAGGUCAUGCUGUAGUGAAACCAUGUAAACUCUAUGCGGUGCAAUGCCAUGUAAACCAGUGCUUGAGGGUAGCACGCCCAAUACUGGAGGGUAGGCAGCUAAAGUGUAUUGGUAACAAUGCACUCAGAUAAAUGAUAAGGAUGUUUUGUGCUUGGCAACAAGUUCAGGACAUACAGAAUUCGGCUUAUAGAUUUACUUGUAUA